UGACCUCCAAAUUUAUUCUAAUAUUAAAACCAAAUUUCGGAGUUCUGCCUUCACGAUUCUUUGUCUAGUGGUCAUCUCUUUGUUGUUGAGGUCCCUCCCAUCUUAAAUUAGCAUAUCCUACUUCAAUUGUUACGAAGUAAAAGAUGCAAUAGAAGCGAACCUAAGUUGGAUAUUGCAUUUAUUAGGUUACAUAAAUACCGCAGCCGUCUUUGGUAUUUCUCGCAUGCGAUGCACUUGCCAAACUCUUAUAAGCUAGAAACUUAAUCUUAAAUAUGGAAAUUUUACCUUAUAUAAAAUGCAACCAGCCUACUAAACCUAUUAAACAGGUCAAGACUGGUAAACUAGGACAACAUUCUAGGUCACCUCAUUACAACAAGAGCUCGACCCAUCCCACUCUAAUUCUACAGUAAUGAGCCAUUAGACCUUAAUAUCAAAGGUCUUGAUCCAGAUUCUAUGCUCAAUUUUAACAAAACAUGAGCCAAAUGUCUGCCGCCCCACCUAUUAUUUGAGUCCAUAAUUCAGGAUGUGGUUUCCAAUUGGAUCCACCUAGACAUGAAACCUACAGCCCGAUAUCUCAAUCGGGUGACCAGGGGCCGUCCUCGGCCGAACUCCAUGCUCCUAGAAUCUAGCUUAGAUUCUCAG
RNAcentral lists this long non-coding RNA (642 nucleotides) under Phoenix dactylifera (date palm). Its description in RNAcentral is "long non-coding RNA (PDAC_LNC016096)". The record is from RNAcentral. Lineage: Eukaryota; Viridiplantae; Streptophyta; Magnoliopsida; Arecales; Arecaceae.